This is a long non-coding RNA of Mustela lutreola (European mink), 3421 nucleotides long. RefSeq lists it as uncharacterized. NCBI's taxonomy places the organism in Eukaryota, Metazoa, Chordata, Mammalia, Carnivora, Mustelidae. The record is from RefSeq and is a predicted model, not a curated record. The transcript is spliced from 2 exons.
GGGCGCCUGGGUGGCUCAGUGGGUUAAAGCCUCUGCCUUCUGCUCAGGUCAUGAUCCUGGGGUCCUGGGAUCGAGCCCCGCAUCAGGCUCUCUGCUCAGCGGGGAGCCUGCUUCCUCCUCUCUCUCUGCCUGCAUCUCUGCCUACUUGUGAUCUUUGUCUGUCAAAUAAAUAAAUAAAAUCUUUUAAAAAAAAUUUAAAAAAAAACUCAUUUAACUUCAUUUAACUUCAAAAAUUUAACUCUGAAGUCCCACUAUAUGAGAGAAGGAAGGAAUCUUUUUUUUUUUUUCAUGAACUUUGGGAUUUUACAAGAAUUUCUUUUUGUUAUGCCUCAUCCUUUUUGACAAUUGUAGGCAUGCACAUUUUCUUGAAGGUUCUUAACAUGAACUUUACUUGUACACCCAAGGAUGUAGAAUCAAAAUACCUCCACUAGAUGGAGCCAUUUACCUAGAUUAAUCCCAGAGUAUUAGCGCACCGUAGGAACAUACAUAGAAAGUGAGAUUUUCACACCCAACAUGUCAUUUUUACAUGAAAAUAAUCUUGAAAAAUUUUUUUCUGAACGUGAUUUUUAAAUUUCGGUGUUAUUCAGUGUUAAAAUUCAGUGUUAUUCUUCCUUAGAGCACAGGGAAUUUUCACGAGGCUUCCUCAAAAGGAAGCUUCCUCAAAAAGCUUGUCAGUCCAGACAUGACUUCUCAAACUUUAACAUGCAUACAUGUUCCCUGACAGUCUUGUUCAGGAGCAGAUCCCAUUUCAGUAAGUAUGGGUGGGGCCCAUGAGUGCACAUUUCUAAUAGCUUCCCAGAUGAUGUCGCCAUGCUUGUUUACAGACCUUACUUUGGGUUGGCAAGAACCUAGAGAAUUUUUAGGAACCUAAAGUUUCCUUAUGAUAGGAGGGACUAAAUGGUUAUUCAGAAAUGGUUAAGGGCUUUGUGUAUCUUGUCUGCAGUGCCUGGAGCAAUUCCUGAAACAGAAGUAGAUGCCCAGUAAAUGUUUGUUGAAUGAGGACAGUGAGUGUUUUGUGUACAGUAAGUCAUUUAAUAAUCUUGACAGUGUAUGAAGUUGCUUCUUUCUUUCUUUUUCUUUUUUUAAAGGUUUUACUUAUUGAGAGAGAGAGAGAGAAGCAGACUCCCCCACUGAGCCGGGCGCCUGAUGUAGGGCUUGAUUCCAGGAUCCUGAGAUCAUGACCUGAGCCGAAAGCAGUCGCUUAACCGACUGAGCCACCCAGGUGCCCCAAAGGCAGCUGCUAUUAUUAUUACUACUAUUAUUACUCCAGUUCACAGACAAAGAAACUGAAGCCCUAUGUAGUGGAACUGGGAUUUGAACUCAAGCACAUAGUUGAACUUGUCAGUCUGGCUCCACGGCCUGUACUUUUAACAAAGUUACUAUACUGCCACUCAUUUUUAGUCAAGCCCCUCACCAACAAAGAGGCCCAAAGAGAUAGAGACACUUACUGUCCAAAGGCUGUUGUAAUGUAUCACUUCAUGGCCACUUAUUCCUGACAAACUGGGGGUUUGCUAUGCUGCUACAUCGAGUCCCGACAAUGGGAGUGGAGAGUGCGCACUGUCGGCACACAGACCUUUUCCCCACCCUCCGCGCUGGCGGACAGAUUGGGGUGGGAAGGAAAGAAGAGAUGUGCAACUAAGACCCACUGCACAUUCAUGAAGGAACAAGCGCCCCACAGCCCUUACCCCUUUAUCUAAUCUGGUUAAGUUUUGUAGUUUCAUUGACCCAAAGAACGAACAAUGAUUCCAAAUUAGAGAUGACCAAUAGACAGACGCUCCUUAUGUGUUCCUUGGGACACAGCCACCUGGAAUCAUUUAACAUCUCUCUCGCACUCUUGCAGGUGUUUUGCUGAGCCAGGAUCCUGUGUUGGGCCAUCUUUGGCUCACUAUUGAGAAUUGCUAUUCCAGUUAUAUCAUGUAUUGUCAGAAGGAACUUUUACUUUAUAUUUAUUUGCAUUAUUUUUUCCUGAUCUUCUAGGGCUACCAUUUGAUCCCAGAGGCAAACUCAGUCAAAAGGAUACAGAACUACCAGAAGUCGACCAGAAGUCACUCAUUAUUUAAAGAGUCAUGGGACAGCUGAUAAGAGGGUCCAUUGAAAAGUACAUCUCAUUCUGGAGUUAGAGACGAUGCCACAUCAAAGAGCAGGCAGUCGAUCCCAGCUGCAAGCAGGAGAGAAGGGCGUGCCCCCAAGCUGCUCUGAAACAAGAAGAGUGUAAGGAAGAUGAUAUUUAGCUGCUUUCUGCACUUUGAUUAGCAUGUUUCCAUCUCCUUGGCCUUGCAUAGCUGCCUACCUGGAUACCAUCUGCUGAGCUUUUGCUUUUCUUUCUGUUUUAUGUAAAGUUAUUGCUUUCAAUAUGUUGCAGUGGUGUAGGGAAAAACAAGAGAACACCAGACUUCUGGGACACGCCUCUUUCUCUUCAGUCUUCUAAUGGAGCUUAGUUCUGCUGCUGCUUGUUUUCUUCAGUUUGAAGUACAGAGGACUACUGCGCCUGACACGGAAUGCUGUCCUUGAAGAAAUUAGCAGGAAAUAGAGGUUUAUAGGAGCUUCUCCUCUGCUGCUCUUGUCUUGGAAACAAUUAGAAGUACAUUUGCAAAAUUGUAUUGAAAAUAAAUGGGAAAAUUAUGUUUUAUUUUAUAGCCCACUUUUCUGGAACAGAUCUAAUUUUUAAAAAUGUUUUACUAAUUUAUUUGACAGGAAAGGUAGGGAGAGCAAGCACAAGCAAGGGGAGCAGCAGUCUCUCCCCUUGAGCAAUGAGCCCAACGUGGAGAGAUUCCAGGACCCUAGGAUCAGGGCCCAAGCCGAAGGCAGCCACUUAACUGACUGAGCCACCCAGGUGCCCCCAGAGCUAGUUUUAAAUGAAGUAAUGAGGAAAUGGCCUUUGUAACUAAAUGUUGAUUAAGAGGUUGUGAGCUGUGACCCCAAGAUCGGAAAUAAAAGAUCAAACUAAGGAAUGAAAAGGGGGAUAUUCUUUGGAUAUCUUGUCCUCAAAUCUGGGAGACAAGUUAUAUUUUGUAAAACCAGAGAAUGUAGAUUUAGGUAAUUUUGUGUUCAUUUCUCCUGUCUCAUUUGCUACGACUUGUCAAAUUAUGUUAUAGCAGUUAUGUUAGAGCUUUGGUUAUAACAUAUAUGCUUGGACAGAGUUUAAUGGGGACCAGCAACAUCCCCUGAGAGCCAAUUUUGAAUAUUAUUAUCCGAAUUUAAUUUUGUCUUUAUAACAAAAGGCAACUUAUCUUUUAAGAAGUGUACUCAAGCAGUGGUGCCUCGGUGACUCAGUAGGUUAGAUAGCUCUCAAUUUCAGCUCAGGUCAUGAUCUCAGGGUCCUGGGGUUCUGUGCUUAGUAAGGAGUCUGCUUGAGAAUUCUCUCUCCAUCUCCCUCCCAGUCUCCCCCCUCAAAUAAAUAAACCUUUUUUUUUUUUUUAAA